This 706-nucleotide ribosomal RNA is filed under the name Ornithobacterium rhinotracheale. Its description in RNAcentral is "bacterial SSU rRNA". It matches the Rfam family "Bacterial small subunit ribosomal RNA", at positions 135 to 843 of the family's 1533-position model. Lineage: Bacteria; Pseudomonadati; Bacteroidota; Flavobacteriia; Flavobacteriales; Weeksellaceae. The record is from RNAcentral.
UCAGGAGGAUAGCCCGGGGAAACUCGGAUUAAUACUCCAUAAGAUUUUGAUUGGCAUCGAUUAAAAUUGAAAGAUUUAUUGGAUAAGGAUAGGCAUGCGUCAGAUUAGUUAGUUGGUAGUGUAACGGACUACCAAGGCGAUGAUCUGUAGGGGGCCUGAGAGGGUGAACCCCCACACUGGUACUGAGACACGGACCAGACUCCUACGGGAGGCAGCAGUGAGGAAUAUUGGACAAUGGAGGGAACUCUGAUCCAGCCAUCCCGCGUGCAGGAAGACGGCCCUAUGGGUUGUAAACUGCUUUUGUAUGGGGAUAAAUCUACUUACGUGUAGGUAGUUGAAGGUACCAUACGAAUAAGCAUCGGCUAACUCCGUGCCAGCAGCCGCGGUAAUACGGAGGAUGCAAGCGUUAUCCGGAUUCAUUGGGUUUAAAGGGUCCGUAGGCGGGCUGAUAAGUCAGUGGUGAAAUUUUGUCGCUCAACGAUAAAACUGCCAUUGAUACUGUUAGUCUUGAGUGAUAUUGAAGUAGCUGGAAUGUGUAGUGUAGCGGUGAAAUGCAUAGAUAUUACACAGAACACCGAUUGCGAAGGCAGGUUACUAAGUAUUAACUGACGCUGAAGGACGAAAGCGUGGGGAGCGAACAGGAUUAGAUACCCUGGUAGUCCACGCAGUAAACGAUGCUAACUCGUUUUCGGGGAGAGAUCUUCGA